AAGGAGGUGGCUCAGUGGUUAAGCGCAUUGGCUGCCCUUGCAGAGGACCUGGGUUUGAGCCCCAGCCUCCUCA
RNAcentral lists this transfer RNA (73 nucleotides) under Rattus norvegicus (Norway rat). It matches the Rfam family "tRNA". Rfam says of the family: Transfer RNA (tRNA) molecules are approximately 80 nucleotides in length. Their secondary structure includes four short double-helical elements and three loops (D, anti-codon, and T loops). Further hydrogen bonds mediate the characteristic L-shaped molecular structure. tRNAs have two regions of fundamental functional importance: the anti-codon, which is responsible for specific mRNA codon recognition, and the 3' end, to which the tRNAs corresponding amino acid is attached (by aminoacyl-tRNA synthetases). tRNAs cope with the degeneracy of the genetic code in two manners: having more than one tRNA (with a specific anti-codon) for a particular amino acid; and 'wobble' base-pairing, i.e. permitting non-standard base-pairing at the 3rd anti-codon position. The record is from Rfam by way of RNAcentral. Lineage: Eukaryota; Metazoa; Chordata; Mammalia; Rodentia; Muridae.